Molecule: ribosomal RNA, 112 nt
Filed under: Neotoma lepida (desert woodrat)
Lineage: Eukaryota; Metazoa; Chordata; Mammalia; Rodentia; Cricetidae
Source: RNAcentral
GUCUAUGGCCAUCCCACACUGAAUGUGCCUGGUCCCCUGUGAUCUCAGAAGCUAAGCAGGGUUGGGCUUGGUUAGAGCUCAGAAAAUAAAUUGGGCCAUCUUACUUUAGACC